AGCAACAAAUGCCCUGCUUCCAGGAAAAGCCUCUAAGCAUCAGGUAACAUCAAAUCGUACCCCAAACCGACACAGGUGGUCAGGUAGAGAAUACCAAGGCGCUUGAGAGAACUCGGGUGAAGGAACUAGGCAAAAUGGUGCCGUAACUUCGGGAGAAGGCACGCUGACACGUAGGUGAAGUGAUUUACUCAUGGAGCUGAAGUCAGUCGAAGAUACCAGCUGGCUGCAACUGUUUAUUAAAAACACAGCACUGUGCAAACACGAAAGUGGACGUAUACGGUGUGACGCCUGCCCGGUGCCGGAA
Molecule: ribosomal RNA, 304 nt
Filed under: Salmonella enterica subsp. enterica serovar Typhimurium
Lineage: Bacteria; Pseudomonadati; Pseudomonadota; Gammaproteobacteria; Enterobacterales; Enterobacteriaceae
Description: partial 23S ribosomal RNA
Rfam family: Bacterial large subunit ribosomal RNA
Source: RNAcentral